UACGGGGGGGGCAAGCGUUGUUCGGAAUUACUGGGCGUAAAGGGCUCGUAGGCGGCCAACUAAGUCAGACGUGAAAUCCCUCGGCUUAACCGGGGAACUGCAUCUGAUACUGGAUGGCUUGAGUUCGGGAGAGGGAUGCGGAAUUCCAGGUGUAGCGGUGAAAUGCGUAGAUAUCGGGAGGAACACCGGUGGCGAAGGCGGUUCUCUGGGCCUGUACUGACGCUGAGGAGCGAAAGCGUGGGGAGCGAACAGG
Molecule: ribosomal RNA, 253 nt
Filed under: uncultured bacterium
Lineage: Bacteria
Description: partial 16S ribosomal RNA
Rfam family: Bacterial small subunit ribosomal RNA
Source: RNAcentral